RNAcentral lists this ribosomal RNA (1562 nucleotides) under Vibrio owensii. Its description in RNAcentral is "bacterial SSU rRNA". It matches the Rfam family "Bacterial small subunit ribosomal RNA". Lineage: Bacteria; Pseudomonadati; Pseudomonadota; Gammaproteobacteria; Vibrionales; Vibrionaceae. The record is from RNAcentral.
AAAUUGAAGAGUUUGAUCAUGGCUCAGAUUGAACGCUGGCGGCAGGCCUAACACAUGCAAGUCGAGCGGAAACGAGUUAUCUGAACCUUCGGGGAACGAUAACGGCGUCGAGCGGCGGACGGGUGAGUAAUGCCUAGGAAAUUGCCCUGAUGUGGGGGAUAACCAUUGGAAACGAUGGCUAAUACCGCAUAAUGUCUACGGGCCAAAGAGGGGGACCUUCGGGCCUCUCGCGUCAGGAUAUGCCUAGGUGGGAUUAGCUAGUUGGUGAGGUAAUGGCUCACCAAGGCGACGAUCCCUAGCUGGUCUGAGAGGAUGAUCAGCCACACUGGAACUGAGACACGGUCCAGACUCCUACGGGAGGCAGCAGUGGGGAAUAUUGCACAAUGGGCGCAAGCCUGAUGCAGCCAUGCCGCGUGUGUGAAGAAGGCCUUCGGGUUGUAAAGCACUUUCAGUCGUGAGGAAGGUAGUGUAGUUAAUAGCUGCAUUAUUUGACGUUAGCGACAGAAGAAGCACCGGCUAACUCCGUGCCAGCAGCCGCGGUAAUACGGAGGGUGCGAGCGUUAAUCGGAAUUACUGGGCGUAAAGCGCAUGCAGGUGGUUUGUUAAGUCAGAUGUGAAAGCCCGGGGCUCAACCUCGGAAUAGCAUUUGAAACUGGCAGACUAGAGUACUGUAGAGGGGGGUAGAAUUUCAGGUGUAGCGGUGAAAUGCGUAGAGAUCUGAAGGAAUACCGGUGGCGAAGGCGACCCCCUGGACAGAUACUGACACUCAGAUGCGAAAGCGUGGGGAGCAAACAGGAUUAGAUACCCUGGUAGUCCACGCCGUAAACGAUGUCUACUUGGAGGUUGUGGCCUUGAGCCGUGGCUUUCGGAGCUAACGCGUUAAGUAGACCGCCUGGGGAGUACGGUCGCAAGAUUAAAACUCAAAUGAAUUGACGGGGGCCCGCACAAGCGGUGGAGCAUGUGGUUUAAUUCGAUGCAACGCGAAGAACCUUACCUACUCUUGACAUCCAGAGAACUUUCCAGAGAUGGAUUGGUGCCUUCGGGAACUCUGAGACAGGUGCUGCAUGGCUGUCGUCAGCUCGUGUUGUGAAAUGUUGGGUUAAGUCCCGCAACGAGCGCAACCCUUAUCCUUGUUUGCCAGCGAGUAAUGUCGGGAACUCCAGGGAGACUGCCGGUGAUAAACCGGAGGAAGGUGGGGACGACGUCAAGUCAUCAUGGCCCUUACGAGUAGGGCUACACACGUGCUACAAUGGCGCAUACAGAGGGCAGCAAGCUAGCGAUAGUGAGCGAAUCCCAAAAAGUGCGUCGUAGUCCGGAUUGGAGUCUGCAACUCGACUCCAUGAAGUCGGAAUCGCUAGUAAUCGUGGAUCAGAAUGCCACGGUGAAUACGUUCCCGGGCCUUGUACACACCGCCCGUCACACCAUGGGAGUGGGCUGCAAAAGAAGUAGGUAGUUUAACCUUCGGGAGGACGCUUACCACUUUGUGGUUCAUGACUGGGGUGAAGUCGUAACAAGGUAGCGCUAGGGGAACCUGGCGCUGGAUCACCUCCUUAAACGAUGAU